RNAcentral lists this unclassified non-coding RNA (717 nucleotides) under Hevea brasiliensis (rubber tree). Lineage: Eukaryota; Viridiplantae; Streptophyta; Magnoliopsida; Malpighiales; Euphorbiaceae. The record is from RNAcentral.
CUUGAUUUGUAUCUAAUCAAGAAUGCAAAAAUCCCAUUUUUCAUCAAUGGAGAAAGUGAAUUUCAGAACCAAAAUCAUCAGCAGACACCUAAAUCAAGAAACCCCAUCACCCAAUUUGUUGCUCCAAUCCAUCCCAUGUCUCAGCUACAACCCACCUGAGCUUUUAGAGCCCUCUGCCAUUUUUGACACAAAGGAGAUGAGAAAACUCAUGGAUGGUCAUAAUUUUGUUGAAAAAGACUGGCUUUUUGGUUUAAUGUUACAGAGCAAUCUGUUUAACCCUAUUGAAAGAGGUGGCAAAGUUUUUGUUUCACCUGAUUACAAUCAAUCUAAAGAACAACAAAGGGAAAUCACCAUGAAGAGAAUAGGGUACCUUCUUGAACAUGGGGUUUUUAAGAAAUGGCUUACUGGUAAAGGGCAUGAAGAUGAGUUGAGGAAAUUAGGUCUUUUGGAUUGUCUUGGUAUCUAUGAUCAUUCACUUGCCAUCAAAGUUGGAGUUCAUUUUUUCCUAUGGGGUGGUGCAAUCCAGUUUUUCGGUACCAAACGACAUCAUGAUAAAUGGUUGAAGGACACAGAGGAUUACGUGAUUAAAGGUUGCUUCUCGAUGACAGAGUUGGGGCAUGGAAGUAAUGUUCGAGGUAUUGAAACAGUCACAACAUAUGAUUCAAGCACAGGAGAGUUUGUCAUAAAUACUCCAUGUGAAUCAGCUCAGAAGUAUUG